Molecule: ribosomal RNA, 523 nt
Filed under: uncultured bacterium
Lineage: Bacteria
Description: bacterial SSU rRNA
Rfam family: Bacterial small subunit ribosomal RNA
Source: RNAcentral
AAUAGAUACCCAGGUAGUCCACGCCGUAAACGGUGGGCACUAGGUGUGGGGACCAUUCCACGGUCUCUGCGCCGCAGCUAACGCAUUAAGUGCCCCGCCUGGGGAGUACGGCCGCAAGGCUAAAACUCAAAGGAAUUGACGGGGGGCCCGCACAAGCGGCGGAGCAUGCGGCUUAAUUCGAAGCAACGCGAAGAACCUUACCUAGGCUUGACAUGCAGGGAAAUCUGGCAGAGAUGCCAGGUCCUUCGGGGCCUUGCACAGGUGGUGCAUGGCUGUCGUCAGCUCGUGUCGUGAGAUGUUGGGUUAAGUCCCGCAACGAGCGCAACCCUCGUUCUAUGUUGCCAGCGGUUCGGCCGGGGACUCAUAGAAGACUGCCGGGGUCAACUCGGAGGAAGGUGGGGAUGACGUCAAGUCAUCAUGCCCCUUAUGUCUAGGGCUGCACGCAUGCUACAAUGGUCGGUACAAAGGGCUGCAAUACCGCAAGGUGGGCGAAUCCCAAAAGCCGGCUCAGUUCGGAUUGGGU